CUGGUUCUGGCAGUGUGGUUAGCUGGUUGUUUACGUAUAGUAAUUACAACCACUAUCUUCCCUGCCCCAAGUGG
Non-coding RNA from Stegodyphus mimosarum, 74 nucleotides. NCBI's taxonomy places the organism in Eukaryota, Metazoa, Arthropoda, Arachnida, Araneae, Eresidae. The record is from Rfam.